This 157-nucleotide ribosomal RNA is filed under the name uncultured delta proteobacterium. Its description in RNAcentral is "partial 16S ribosomal RNA". It matches the Rfam family "Bacterial small subunit ribosomal RNA", at positions 335 to 504 of the family's 1533-position model. The record is from RNAcentral. Lineage: Bacteria; Deltaproteobacteria.
ACUCCUACGCGGAGGCAGCAGUGGGGAAUAUUGCNCAAUGGAGGAAACUCUGAUGCAGCAAUGUCGCGUGAGUGAAGUAAGGCCCUUGGGUCGUAAAGCUCUUUUAUGGGGGUAAGUAUGNAUGACGGUACCCCAAGAGNAAGCACCGGCUAACUAC